AAGGUAGCAUAAUAAAUUGACUUUUAAUUGAGGUCUAGAAUGAAAGGAUAUAUGGAUAUAAGCUGUCUUAAUUAAUUAUUUUUAAAUUACUUAAAAGGUGAAAAUUCCUUUUUUUUUUAAUAGACGAGAAGACCCUAGGAGUUUUUUUGUUGGGGCAACAUUAUAGCAUUAUACCUAUAUAAUAGAUUUAUUUAUUACGAUAAUAUUAAUUUUAAAUAAACUACCCUAGGGAUAACAGCAUAAAGUUUGUGACCUCGAUGUUGGACUAGGAAUUUUAAUAUUAGCUAUAUUAUUCGAUUGUUCUGUUCGAACAUUAUUACCU
This 322-nucleotide ribosomal RNA is filed under the name Asperitas trochus. Its description in RNAcentral is "partial large subunit ribosomal RNA". Lineage: Eukaryota; Metazoa; Mollusca; Gastropoda; Stylommatophora; Ariophantidae. The record is from RNAcentral.